AGGGACAAGCUGUUGUAACUUACAUGACGAUAUAUAACUUGAUCUACUUUAAUAUCCAAACGUAUACACAGAAGGCUGGGAAAUGUCGGCUAGUUAAUCUGAGUUUCAGAGGGAAAAUGAAGUAGUGAAGGUGCAGUUUAAGAGGAAUGCCGCUCCUUUUAUUAAAGAAGCGCCUUUUUGGGUGUCUGAGCCUGGGUACUGGGACGGCAGUACAUAGUAGAAGAAGCCUGAGCAGACAGCGGGUAUUUUUAACAGCGAGAUAAGCGAAUGGGGCAGGCACAGAGAGGCGCUCAUAAGCCACAUGGCAACAGCAGGGGCAAGUCGUGGCAAUGGUGGGGGAUGCUAACAGGUUUUGAUCUCCAGAGGAUGAAUCAGUUAGCAGACACCCUAGCCGCAUUGCCGGAAACAUCCUGGGAGGCCAACUAGCACGCUGCUGCUUGUGGGCAUUGAAGCGGUUUGGAUCAAAACAUGCAACUAUUUAACCUCUUUAACUGGAGAUGGGGGGGGGGGGGCGUGGUGAGAGCUGUGUUACCCGACUCAGACUGCUUUCCAUAAGUAUCAGGUUAGAUUGGGUCCCGGCCCUGUGGUACGAAGUCUGCCUGGCUGGCUAGAGUCCCGGCAGCGCCCAGAGUAUCGCAUGUCUGCAGUGGCGUGUUUACUGUGAGAAAUUUCCCUCAGGUAUGGGGCCACACGCUCCCGAGCCAACACGCUGACGUCAUCACGGAGGGGACACAUGCCUUUGAAGUGACAGCAUCUGAGUGACAUCCAAAGGGUGCCGAUGAGUGAUGAUUUAUGAAUAGUAUCAAAAAGCUCAGAAUCCAUCCCUGCCUUUCCUUGUUAUACGUGUUGCAUUGUUGCAUAAUGAUCAGCAGCCUGGUUUCUGCUUCCCAGCAAAGCCAGUGCCAAACCGAAGGCUGUGUAAUUCACAUCAAACCAAAGUGCUACCCAUUCAACUGAAAGCACUGGAUAAAUCAAGUGCAAUGUGUCUGUUUUGCCUGAAAUGCCUAAAUUUCCCGAGCCUGAUGUUGAAUGCGUCACAUUUCAUAGUGACUAUCCUUACUAUAAUCUCAUUGUCCUACGUGAGAAAUAUGAGAUUUAUUGAAUUAUCAGUUUACGUUUUGUCACCCAAAUUGCUUUUCAUGUUUCAGUUUUAUUGAAAGUCACGGCUUUCUAUUAGGCACCGGUGUAAAGACCAUAGAGAGGUGUCCGUCUGGUCAUGUGACUGUGCAAAGACUCCCAUGCUCCCCAGCACGUCUGCAUAUUUACCUUGUCACAGAAAUCCCAAUCCAUGCAUUUAGUCAAAAGUUAAACACAUCCUUCUUUGGAGGCAACAUUCCAGCUUGGAUGUGACCAGAGGAGGCUCCCCCCCAGGGCACUGGCGGUGGCCUGGUGCCCCGGGCCCUCGGCUCAGCAUAAGCUGUGACGGACUCUAUGCACUCCUGCACUCCAAGUACAGACCUUCUGACACAGAUGAUAUUUACUGAUACCAUGUGUGUGCCAGAGGACUAAAUCUAAAUGAGAGGAUACCGAUUCUUUUUCACUUAUUAUCCAAUCAUUCAAGUCAUGGGAGGACUUAGGGACCACAGGGGACAGUUACAUUUCCUGUCCAGUCGGGGCUGGACAUUUGGCAUCAAAAACUCCAGAAUGAAAGCCUGCCAAUCAUUUCAGUGCCACUGACUUUGAGGCAGUCCCAGAAUCUUCUGGGGUUUCCGAGUAAUCAUGCUGAUUGAGCCGCGGUAUGACACCAGGCAGGGUGUCCUUCUGUCUGACUGAAAUCUCAUUUGUUCAGUUCUAAGGAAGGUAUUAGUGUAGUCAUCUUUAGCAGCAUGAGCAAAAAUAUCUACUAGUGUCGAAACACAUGUAAAGAGUAACACAGGCCCAGUGAAUGGAUGCACAAAGCUUGUCUCAUUGUUUUUUUUUAUAUCCUUGGGUUUCUAGGUUGUACUUCACAUGACUUACCGGUGGUGAGGGAAUGGUGACAGAAUUUUAUACUCUGCCAAUUUCCUUCUUAGAGCCUGAUGCUAUAAUGAUAUAAUCAGCUGUAGAUAUUGUAAGACAGCUUUGGUAUGUUAGUUUGGGUAACUGAUGGAUCACAUGACAGAAACAUGCGGAAAGAGAAGGAAGUGGCAUGUGGGUCCAGGUUUUUAUGCGACCAGAGGUCAUGCCAGAAUGUGGCUUUUCCUUCAGAGAGGCAGCUAGACGAAGCGAUGAGAGGGCUGCUCCGUCUGGUGGCUGCCUGGAUGGGAGAGUGACAGAUCAACAGGACUUCCUUCCAGGGCCACACAGCUAGGGGAUGUGGAGAUACCGGACUUUCUACUGCUGACUGCAUAAAGCUCCCCCCCUCCCUGAGAGCUCACCGGGAUGUGCGAUACUCCCUGCACACCUCAUGUCUUUAUUCAACAAGGCUAUGCUGGGAUAUUCAUACCCUGUAACUCUCAACCAAGUACUGGGUUAGGUACAGCUGUGAGUCUUAGCCUAAUUGGGCAUAACUGGCUUAUGCGAGCUGAUGCUGGAUGCGUGUUAGUCUCAGCAUAGCUCUGCAGCUGGGUGUGUGGAUUACAGCUCAAAAGCGCCCCCCGGAGGCCCAUUUGAGAACAUGAUAGCAUUUUUGCCUCUCAGUUUUGUUGCCAAGAAACAUCCUUGUGUGUUCCAUUAGAGCUGUGGCCCAUGUUUGUACCACAUCCUUGAUUGGUUUCGUUCUGGUUUCUAAGCCAUUGACCAUUUUUCACCCAUACUUCCUUCUGUCAGUCUUGAAGCCAUUCAGGAUCACAUUCCAUGUAAGUAUAUAAUAUACACUUACUACUCAAAUAAAUAGCUUUAAACUUUGACUGCCUAUGGCUUUUGCACAGUACUGCAUCUCUCAAAGCUGGCUCUUAUUCUUUAAGAAAUAACGCUGACAUUUCUGUCCAAGGUUUACAACAUAGGCGUGUUUUGAGGUGUUGAAUCGGAAUAUCAGAGUAAAUAAUAUGUAGCCUAACUGUGAAUCCAAAUUUGAAUACCCCUGUAAAUAGACCACAACCUAUUGUAUGACUUGCAUGAAUAAGAAGAAAAGGCAAUAUAACAUUGUCCGUCCAGUAUCUCUUACUAUCACCUGCAGGCAGACUGGAAACUAGCCGGGGAGCCCAGCAUCAGCAACACGGGCUAAUCAAUUAGCUUUAACUGGAGGAGGUGAGCUCCCUCUACUCAGCCAUCGUCCUGUUAAACUCACUCCAGCUCGUUUAGUGAUGAUGUGCCAGAAGGAAUCCCAGGAAACAAAGGGGCAGCCUGCCAGCUGCGGCCGCGGCUGUGAUGACCUCACAGGAAGGAGCCUGGUUACCCCCCUCCCCCCGGCUGGUUCCCCACGUUCUCAUCUGCCUUUAACGAAGCCGGGAUGACGGACAUUUCUGUCUUUUCCACCCGCACCCAGUGGCUCUCAGACAAGGGGAAUUGCUGUCAGCUGAAUGGGCCCUGCAACCCACAAGUAAAACCUUCCACCCACAGCACCUAUAAAGUCACACUAUCAGACCACACCCUCCAUAACAAUGAAGUCAUCACAAAAAAUUCUAAUUAAAAUCAGAACCUGUUAUUUGGGGUAAAACACAGAUUGCAUCAAAAC
Paramormyrops kingsleyae is the source of this 3595-nucleotide long non-coding RNA. RefSeq lists it as uncharacterized. Lineage: Eukaryota; Metazoa; Chordata; Actinopteri; Osteoglossiformes; Mormyridae. The record is from RefSeq and is a predicted model, not a curated record.